UUCCAGACUCCUACGGGAGGCAGCAGUGGGGGAUAUUGCACAAUGGGGGGAACCCUGAUGCAGCGACGCCGCGUGGGUGAAGGAGCGUUUCGGCGCGUAAAGCCCUAUCGGCAGGGAAGAAGGAGGACGGUACCUGACUAAGAAGCCCCGGCUAACUACGUGCCAGCAGCCGCGGUAAUACGUAGGGGGCAAGCGUUAUCCGGAUUUACUGGGUGUAAAGGGAGCGUAGACGGCAAUGCAAGUCUGGAGUGAAAGGCGGGGGCCCAACCCCCGGACUGCUCUGGAAACUGUAUAGCUGGAGUGCAGGAGAGGUAAGUGGAAUUCCUAGUGUAGCGGUGAAAUGCGUAGAUAUUAGGAGGAACACCAGUGGCGAAGGCGGCGUACUGGACUGUAACUGACGUUGAGGCUCGAAAGCGUGGGGAGCAAACAGGAUUAGAUACCCCUGUACGG
This 450-nucleotide ribosomal RNA is filed under the name uncultured bacterium. Its description in RNAcentral is "partial 16S ribosomal RNA". It matches the Rfam family "Bacterial small subunit ribosomal RNA", at positions 329 to 793 of the family's 1533-position model. The record is from RNAcentral.